This 492-nucleotide ribosomal RNA is filed under the name uncultured bacterium. Its description in RNAcentral is "partial 16S ribosomal RNA". It matches the Rfam family "Bacterial small subunit ribosomal RNA", at positions 29 to 507 of the family's 1533-position model. The record is from RNAcentral.
AGUGAACGCUGGCGGUAGGCCUAACACAUGCAAGUCGAACGGCAGCACAGUAAGAGCUUGCUCUUACGGGUGGCGAGUGGCGGACGGGUGAGGAAUACAUCGGAAUCUACUUUUUCGUGGGGGAUAACGUAGGGAAACUUACGCUAAUACCGCAUACGACCUACGGGUGAAAGCAGGGGAUCUUCGGACCUUGCGCGAUUGAAUGAGCCGAUGUCGGAUUAGCUAGUUGGCGGGGUAAAGGCCCACCAAGGCGACGAUCCGUAGCUGGUCUGAGAGGAUGAUCAGCAACACUGGAACUGAGACACGGUCCAGACUCCUACGGGAGGCAGCAGUGGGGAAUAUUGGACAAUGGGCGCAAGCCUGAUCCAGCCAUACCGCGUGGGUGAAGAAGGCCUUCGGGUUGUAAAGCCCUUUUGUUGGGAAAGAAAGGCAGCAGGUUAAUACCCCGCUGUUCUGACGGUACCCAAAGAAUAAGCACCGGCUAACUUCGUG